This is an RNA transcript of Zingiber officinale, 2477 nucleotides long. It is a transcript of the gene named myosin type-2 heavy chain 1-like, with no coding region annotated. Lineage: Eukaryota; Viridiplantae; Streptophyta; Magnoliopsida; Zingiberales; Zingiberaceae. The record is from RefSeq and is a predicted model, not a curated record. The transcript is spliced from 7 exons.
GCGAUGGCAUACCGCGUCCAUGACUCGCUGAAAACAGGGGACCCACUCAGUCGAGAAGUCUCGGGAGUUGAGCUCCCCGACUGCGCCACGUGUGGUAUGGAGGGUUUCUGGCGCGUCGCCUGUCUUCUGGCUUCUGCAUAGAAUGGAAUUGUCGUGAGACCUCGAGGCACCGGCGCAGAGCGUCUCCAGCGAUGUCUACUGCAGUUGGCAAAUCGAUUCCUCUUCUCCUCUCUCGAUGAAAAUAAGUAGUUGCAGCAUCGGGCACUGAGUCGAAGGAAGAGGUGGUGGAAUGGCGGCCAGGCAUGGAAGGGGGGAGCCGGAGACGAUGAUGGUCCACCUGCCGCGGCGGUCGAGAGGACAGAAACCAGGCUGCCGUCUGAAUCUUCGGGAUCUCUUGGACCAGGAGAGGAGUUAUCUGGCGUCGAUGGCGAUGGCGGCUGCCGGGACUCCUGCCUCCGACGUGGGGGUGGUUAUUUCUGGCUGCAAGGAGUCGUGCCAGACCCAGGCGGAGAUCCUUUUCGCCGAGCGUGACUUCUUGAGGAUGGAUCUGGAGUCGUCUACUGGGAAGCUGGAGCCAGAAAGGGCGCGGAAGGAUGCUGCGAUGCGAUCCAAUGAGAACAGUUUGGUACCGGGAAGAAAGAAGAUCGAUGCGAGAGCGGGCGAUCGGGGAGACCUAGAGGGUGGGAUAGAUGAUCUCGAAGAGAAGAUGCAGGAGCUCAAGCUGAGGAGAAGCCGGAGCAAAGGAAUCUCCAUGAAGCUUUCCCGAAGAAGGUACUUCCACCGGCAGUCGUCUGUGCUCCGGCGCGACAUGGUACUGAUCAAGGAAGACGCAGCGAUUUUGAAGGGCAUAAAAGAGGCGUCGUUGCUCAAUUUAGCCGUAUUAGGGAAGCGUCCAGAUGUUGAAGAGGAAAAGAUGGUGAUGCUGAAGAGGAAGAUGGAAGGGCUGUCGAGGGGCAUGCUUGAGAGAAUCGAGGAGUGUAGUCAUUUGCUCUCUUCUAAAAGCACCAGCAGUCAAGACAUUGUUUCAUACAAUGAAGCAGAGCACAUGCCUUUUCUCCACCUUGGGCAGCAGCUGCGGCAAGAGAAGUCGAUUGAGAAGCAGAAGGAGUUUAGAUGUUGUAGUUGCAUGGAAGCUGUUGGGAGGAUAAGGCAGCAAGUGUGGGCAGAGUCUGAGCAAUGGAGUGAGAUGCAACAGCUGCUGGAGCAAGUUAAGAUAGAAAUGGAAGAGAUCCGAUCUUCUAGAGACCAUUGGCAGCGACAAGCCGUUGCCUCUGAGAUCAAUUUCCACAUCCUACAUACUCAGAAGCUCAAGUGGAAGCGAAAGGCCCAAUCUUCUGAGUGCAAGGUAAUUGAUCUGCAGAACCUUGUGUUACAACAUGAGAAAGAGCUCCAAUCAUUGUGGAAGAAGAUUCCUGGUACUCCCAGUUCCUCUUCUCCACAGCACACUGAGUUGUGUAUCAAAAGGCGCUGGAGGAAAUUGCUCGACUCAAGUGAGGAGGAGAAGCAUGCUCCACCCUGUCACUUGAAGUCAGAGACCAGUAAUAGACGCUUACCAUUGCUUAAUAUCAACAACAUUUCUCAACCUCUUAGACCAAUAAUUGGAGCAUGGAGUCCAACAUGAUCCACAACACUUGAAAGCAUUCCGUUUCAGUUAGAUGGCAACCACCAAGCAUAAAAUUAGCUGUCUUUCUGAAUAUCUACUAAGUGUAACAUAGCAAGAGAUCCAGCAACUGAUAUGCAUACAAGCCACUGCCAGAAUAUACACAAUUAAGUAAGAAGAAAGGCAGUUGCAUCAAGUCAAGGGUGACUGAUCAUGGACAUCCAGGCACAAUAGGCGCACACAAUCCUCUGCGAGAUGUAGAUGUACACAGCGAAGGAGAAGCUCAUGAGCACUAGGUCUUUCCAGUCACCCUUCUGCUUUGGUGACAAGCAGUCCUUCAGCUCCCUGCCCAGCUUCCCAGCCUCACCAUAGAUUUCCACCAGCGAGAUGGGCCACCUCUUCCCCUGCUUUGUACUGUCACUUUGCUCCUCUUUCGGACUGCCAUCUCCGGCGGACAAGUAGCUGUGGCAGCAGAAGGUUUGCUUCGGUCUGGAUGCGUGGGCGAUGGAGUGGCGAGGAUUGCUUUGUCCUGCAUGAAGAAGAAGAGUGAAUGAAGAGGCAGCCAUGAGAGGAUGGACAGGAAGGUGAAGAUGGACAGAUAUUUUGGGUGAUUUCUUUUUUGAAGGGGGGAUAUUUUUGUGCAAUUAGCGUGAACAAGUGGAGCUCCUCUGAAUUCAAGGAGAAAGUGACAUUUGUGAUAUCUAAAUUGGUUUUUAGGGGUAUAUUGCUUUGUCCUUAGUGAAGAAGAAGAGUCAUAGAAGAUAGUAAGUUAGGGUUGGAUAUUGAUAUAAGAAUGUUGAGACAUUUUGCUGCGAGCAUUUUUCUGUUUUAUUCUAAUGAUGAGUGAAAUUUUUUUAUAGGAUUGGAUUAAAUUAAA